AUACGGAGGGUGCAAGCGUUAAUCGGAAUUACUGGGCGUAAAGCGCGCGUAGGCGGCUUGGUCAGUCGGAUGUGAAAGCCCCGGGCUUAACCUGGGAAUUGCACUCGAUACUGCCGAGCUAGAGUAUGGGAGAGGGAAGUGGAAUUUCCGGUGUAGCGGUGAAAUGCGUAGAUAUCGGAAGGAACACCAGUGGCGAAGGCGACUUCCUGGCCCAAUACUGACGCUCAGGUGCGAAAGCGUGGGUAGCGAACAGGAUUAGAUACCCGCGUAGUCC
Molecule: ribosomal RNA, 274 nt
Filed under: uncultured bacterium
Lineage: Bacteria
Description: partial 16S ribosomal RNA
Rfam family: Bacterial small subunit ribosomal RNA
Source: RNAcentral